This 497-nucleotide ribosomal RNA is filed under the name uncultured bacterium. Its description in RNAcentral is "partial 16S ribosomal RNA". It matches the Rfam family "Bacterial small subunit ribosomal RNA", at positions 29 to 507 of the family's 1533-position model. The record is from RNAcentral.
AGUGAACGCUGGCGGCAGGCCUAAUACAUGCAAGUCGAGCGGACGCACAGUAAGCUUUCGCCUCUACCGGUGGCGACUGACGGAUGGGUAACACAUAGAUAACCUUCCUAUUAUACGUGGAGAAUUUCGUGAGGCCACAUCUACUACUACAUAAUAUGUUCAACGGCAUAAAUCAAUAGUUAAUCGCACUUUGUCUGUCACAUUUAGCUGAUGCCGCGUCACAUUAGCUAGUUGGUAAGGUAACGGCUUACCAAGGCAACGAUGCGUAGCUGAUCUGAGAGGGUGAUCAGCCACACUGGAACUGAGACACGGUCCAGACUCCUACGGGAGGCAGCAGUAGGGAAUAUUGGGCAAUGGGCGCAAGCCUGACGGAGCAAUGCCGCGUGAGUGAAGAAGGUCUUCGGGUUGUAAAACUCUGUUAUUAGGGAAGAAAAAAUGUGGAAGAAAACACGGAUGUUCUGACGGUACCCAAUGAGAAAGCACCGGCUAACUACGUG